GGGAAGGUGACUCAGUAGUAGAGUGCUUGCUUUGCAUGCAUGAGGCCUUUGGUUCAAUUCCUCACCACCACA
Non-coding RNA from Dipodomys ordii (Ord's kangaroo rat), 72 nucleotides. The record is from Rfam. Lineage: Eukaryota; Metazoa; Chordata; Mammalia; Rodentia; Heteromyidae.